AACGAACGCUGGCGGCAUGCCUAACACAUGCAAGUCGAACGAGACCUGCGGGUCUAGUGGCGCACGGGUGCGUAACGCGUGGGAACCUGCCCUUAGGUUCGGAAUAACCCCCCGAAAGGGGUGCUAAUACCGGAUAAUGUCUUCGGACCAAAGAUUUAUCGCCUUUGGAUGGGCCCGCGUUGGAUUAGCUAGUUGGUAGGGUAAAAGCCUACCAAGGCGACGAUCCAUAGCUGGUCUGAGAGGAUGAUCAGCCACACUGGGACUGAGACACGGCCCAGACUCCUACGGGAGGCAGCAGUGGGGAAUAUUGGACAAUGGGCGAAAGCCUGAUCCAGCAAUGCCGCGUGAGUGAUGAAGGCCUUAGGGUUGUAAAGCUCUUUUACCCGGGAUGAUAAUGACAGUACCGGGAGAAUAAGCUCCGGCUAACUCCGUG
Molecule: ribosomal RNA, 433 nt
Filed under: uncultured bacterium
Lineage: Bacteria
Description: partial 16S ribosomal RNA
Rfam family: Bacterial small subunit ribosomal RNA
Source: RNAcentral